UGAGGAAUAUUGCACAAUGGGCGCAAGCCUGAUGCAGCGACGCCGCGUGUGGGAUGAAGGGGCUACGCCUCGUAAACCACUGUAGCCCGGGACGAAAAACGCCUUAGAGGCGUUAGACGGUACCGGGAAAGUAAGGGUCGGCUAACUACGUGCCAGCAGCCGCGGUAAUACGUAGGACCCAAGCGUUGUCCGGAAUUACUGGGCGUAAAGGGCGUCUAGGUGGGACGUCAAGCGGGGUGUGAAAGCUCCUGGCUUAACUGGGAGAGUGCGCUCUGAACUGACGACCUAGAGGGCAGGCGACGGAGGUGGAAUUCCCGGUGGAGUGGUGAAAUGCGUAGAGAUCGGGAGGAACACCAGUGGCGAAGGCGGCCUCCGAGCCUGAACCUGACGCUGAAGCGCGAGAGCGUGGGGAGCAAACG
Molecule: ribosomal RNA, 419 nt
Filed under: uncultured bacterium
Lineage: Bacteria
Description: bacterial SSU rRNA
Rfam family: Bacterial small subunit ribosomal RNA
Source: RNAcentral